Long non-coding RNA from Carcharodon carcharias (great white shark), 331 nucleotides. RefSeq lists it as uncharacterized. The transcript has 2 exons. Lineage: Eukaryota; Metazoa; Chordata; Chondrichthyes; Lamniformes; Lamnidae. The record is from RefSeq and is a predicted model, not a curated record.
UAAUGAGGAAUGGGGAAACGAUGAUUCUGAUUGGACAUUUCAAAAAAUACAACAGCCACUUAUUUUGUACUUUUCUCUGAAUGCAUAUUUAAAGACACCAAUAAAAUUUCGACUUCUCCACCAAUCAUUAGCCCUUUUACUACAAUCAGGAAAUACAUUUUAUCAGAAUUCUCUCCAGUCCCAGUUUGUGAAGAUACACCGGGAAUUGUCGUCUGGUUGUCGGUGCGAGGGGCUCUUCUCCACAGAGCGACUGAGCGGAGAUGCGGGAUUCCUCCUGGAACUCUUGUAACGGAAAUCAUUGACGGGACCAGAAUAAAUGUGAUGUUUCCUC